RNAcentral lists this ribosomal RNA (321 nucleotides) under Triticum aestivum (bread wheat). RNAcentral describes it as "partial small subunit ribosomal RNA". The record is from RNAcentral. Lineage: Eukaryota; Viridiplantae; Streptophyta; Magnoliopsida; Poales; Poaceae.
AUGCCUACAUUUAUAGAUGUAUAUUGUUUCAAAAGUUUGACUCGACGUGCCUCACAACAACUUGUUUUUAGGAUGGAGCUACUUUCUCAGCUCUCACCAGUAAUAUCCAUUAAAAGUAUUAGGGUGUGUAUAGUUCAUUACUGCACUUCACAAAACUUUAGUUGUGCAAAUGUGACUGGUAGAUAUUUUGGUUCAUUGGCACAAUUUGUUAGCCUUGGGUUCUGCAGCACAUGUGUCACGGACUCAUGCUUUUUGAAAGCCUGCAAGGUUGCAACCAAUUUGUGGUGGUCAACCAAACAUGCCAUUGAUACCCUGCACUAG